Molecule: ribosomal RNA, 424 nt
Filed under: uncultured archaeon
Lineage: Archaea
Description: partial 16S ribosomal RNA
Rfam family: Archaeal small subunit ribosomal RNA
Source: RNAcentral
CUACGGGUCGCUCCAGUCGGGAGAAUUUUGCAAUGCACGAAAGUGUGACAGAGCAAGCCAGAGUGCUUCUCUAUAUUUGAGAAGCUUUUGUGCGACGUAGAUAGUCGUACGAAUAAGGACUGGGAGAGACUGGUGCCAGCCGCCGCGGUAAUCCCAGCAGUCCAAGUCGCAGCCACAUUUGUUGGGUCUAAAACAUCCGUAGCUUGUUUGGUAAGUCUUUUGUGAAAUCUGACAUCUUAAGUGUUGGGCGUGCAUAAGAUACUGCCAGGCUAGAGACCGGGAGACGUAAGGAGUACGGUUAGGGUAGCGGUUAAAUGCGUUGAUCCUUUCUGGACUAACAAUAGCGAAGGCACCUUGCGAGAACGGAUCUGACAGUCAGGGAUGAAGGCUAGGGUCGCAAAACGGAUUAGAUACCCGGGUAGUC